Long non-coding RNA from Pseudopipra pipra, 1594 nucleotides. RefSeq lists it as uncharacterized. The record is from RefSeq and is a predicted model, not a curated record. The transcript is spliced from 3 exons. NCBI's taxonomy places the organism in Eukaryota, Metazoa, Chordata, Aves, Passeriformes, Pipridae.
GGGAACACGCACCGAGCGGCUCCUCUCCGUGCGGUACAAGUCCCCCAUCCCGCGGCCCUUCCCCAGGGCCUCGUCGGCUGAGGCGGCGGGAGGAAGAGGAGGAGUUCAGAGCUCCGGGGAACACCUCAGGGGUCAUUUCGCCCCUCGGGAGACAGAAAGGGCUUGCAAAGUGUGAAUGGGCUGUGGGGCACAACUGAACCCCUUCCAGCCUCCCACAGCAAGAGCAGUGUCAGGAUUUACACCCCAGAGCGGUGCCACGCAGAGCCACUGGGAUCCAGCACGGUCGGCUGGGCCUCCCCCUGCCAACAGCCUUCACCACCGCCCCAUUCCCACUGUUCGCUCCGAUUCCUGCUUCCACGCUCUGUUUUCACACGGAUGGGGACGUUCCAUCCCUCCUGACUUUACACAGGUGUCAUAUUUGUUGCCGAGCACCCGUAAUUUUGGGAGGAGUGUUUGCACUGCAAAUGGAAACCUGUCAUUUCCCUGCGCCUCCCUUCCCCAGCUCAUUCCAUCAACUAAUUCCAUCAGCCAUUGCAGCUGGAGGUUUCACGUCUCCUCUGUUAAAUCAGGACAAUGCUGCUUGGAUUAAAACUAAAACACGCAUCAAAAAUCCCAUAACCACCUACAAUUUCCCCCUUUCUCCCUAAAAUCUCAGCAGGAGCCAUCAAAAGGAGGUGAAUGGUACAGAAAGUGGAAUAUUAAGCCUUUUCCCGUGCUGUGGCACCAUGGACACAAGCAGGACAAACAGAGCCUUCCCUGCUGCACAGCCACAUCCAUUUUUAAAAAUGGGCCUUCUGUGCUUUCUUUUUUCAGCUCCAUCUCCCCAAACCAAGGGAAAGAUGUUCUCAGUUAGCGGGAUUAAAAAGCAAAGUGUGGCACAAGUAUCCUGGCAGCCUCGGCAGCGCUUCCCUAAAACUGUCUGCCACGGGCACAGCUGAAAUGAAGUUGGGAUUUAAUGGCAAAACAACACCAGAAAAUGGAGCUGGGGAAAAAAAAUACCAACCCAAACCCAUCAUUUUUGGAAUGGAUUGAAUGAGAAAGGUCCCCACGGCCACAUGGAGAGGCAGAUGCGGAUGAGGAUGGAAGCUCUGCCUUCCAAUGCUGGGAGAGGCAGGAUGACCACGGGCAGGAGGAGGAUGGAGAUAUCCCACUCCAAAGCUGUCGCUUGGCUGUUUGCACGCUCGGGGCACCAGCUUGUGAUGUCCUGACAAUCAGUCCAGACAAACACGGAGCGACGGUUCCCCUCCCGCCCCGCUCCUGGUCCGCACAGCCCGGGAUCUUCUCCUGCCCCUCAGCUGGAGCACGAGAGAACAGCCAUCUGGAAAUUAAUUUGGAACAAAGUCUCCUGGUCCGCGUUCCCCGCCGGAGGGACCGUCAGCAGCUCCCGCGGCAGCGCCGUUGUGCUGACUACACACAGUGUAAUGAUUUCCAUCCAUCUCGGGAGCCCGGGCAGCCUUCCUGGCACACCACACCUGUGCCUGGGACGGACUGCGGUAAUUGCCGCGUCCUUCCCGCUCCCUUCCCGCCAGGACGGCCCUAAUCAAGAUGCAUGGCCGCUGGCAUCCAGCUGCUCCCGCAUCCCCGCUCCGGCCCA